Molecule: long non-coding RNA, 546 nt
Filed under: Theobroma cacao (cacao)
Lineage: Eukaryota; Viridiplantae; Streptophyta; Magnoliopsida; Malvales; Malvaceae
Description: long non-coding RNA (TCAC_LNC002024)
Source: RNAcentral
UUUUGUGAAUGCAUUGGGAAAUUUAUGUAAGUUGUUUUACUAUGCAGGCUGGAUAAAUAAAUAAAAGCCACGUUAUACUGUCGAAAUUUUAUUAAAAUUGGUGGGUUAGUCACUGCAGUGACGGGUUUCCGUGGACUGCCUAUUAGAGGGGCACGGUAAACCCAGUUAUAUAGUUACUCCGGUUGUAGAGGCGAGGAGGGUAACUCCCGGGGUAGUAUUAGAGCUCACUUCACGUCGAACCCCCACGUGAAUGUGUAACUCGGCCAACGCCAAGGAACGGCUGGUUUUAAAAAUAAAAAUGUGUUUCACGUGUGAAUAUUUUAACACCCUUGGCGGACUCGGUUAGAUGCCUCGGCCAAGGUAUCCCCGAGGAUUAGUUUUGGCUUGAGCCUUGUUUUAAUAAAAGACAUAAGCCUUAACAAUUGUUUUGGUAAAUUACAAAUAUUUUAUGGUUUAAGAAAUAAAUUGAAAACAUUAUGAAAUGGGUUGAAAUUUAUUGUUUAAACUUGCCUCCAUUUUACUCGCCUUUAGAUAUUUAUGAUAAUG